This is a long non-coding RNA of Paramormyrops kingsleyae, 879 nucleotides long. RefSeq lists it as uncharacterized. The record is from RefSeq and is a predicted model, not a curated record. NCBI's taxonomy places the organism in Eukaryota, Metazoa, Chordata, Actinopteri, Osteoglossiformes, Mormyridae.
CAUGUUGGGAUUAGGGUUAUGCCCAUAGAAAUGAAUGGCGAGUCCCCACAAAGACAGGAGUAUAUGAACUCUGUGUGUCUGUGCCUGUGUCUGUCUGCAUGAGUGUGUCUGGCAGACCCCCUCCAGUCUCGGGUGCCCCCUCCCAUCUGUGUUUGCUCGCUGUCAGGACAGCAGCUCCCAGCCUCUCUCUCUCUCUGUCCUCCGCGGCUGAGCUGUGUUACCCUGUGUCCUCGCCCCCAGGCCGGCCAGGAGUCCUUCCGAUCCAUAACCAGGUCCUACUACAGAGGGGCUGCAGGGGCACUCUUAGUCUAUGACAUCACCAGGAGACCCAGAUUAGCUGACAGAAUGCAGCUUGUUCCAGUGUGCAGCCGGGACUGGUGUCGUGGUGUUGGGAGGCUCAGUGUGGGAGUCACUCCUCCGAGGAGUACUUCACUUUAUAUGUGACUCCUUCGUCCCUUCUUUAAAGGUCACGGCACAAACUGAAAUCGUGCUGGUUUUAUCCACAUCCCACUCGAUGGCGAUGAAAUCCACAUUUUGGAGAAGAUCCCAGACGGAGGACCAGCACUAAUACUGUAUUACAAUUGGGUCUCCUACUCAUCUCCAAGGGAACAUCUGCUCACUCUGUAGCUGGUCAUAUCCCCGCUAAGAUUCCAGGUAUAUUUCAAGGUUACUUGCCAUUCAGUUUCUGAAGUGACUGUGGAUUAAGGCUCUAACUGUGACUCCAAAUCUAUAUCAGAUACAAAUUAAAGUGUGUUUUAAAAAAAUCAGCAAAUCCAAAUGUUAAGCUUGAUUCCCCCAGCAUUAUAAUUAACAGAAGGUGAUGGGUUCAAGUAAAUGGAAGAGCUGUGACUGUGAAAAGUAAAAUUAAAACUAGAUUAA